GGCGGGGUAAUUCAGCCUGGUUAGAAUGUGGCGCUCAUAACGCCAUUGUCGCGAGUUCAAAUCUCGCCCCCGCCA
Molecule: transfer RNA, 75 nt
Filed under: Candidatus Woesearchaeota archaeon
Lineage: Archaea; Nanobdellati; Candidatus Woesearchaeota
Description: tRNA-Met
Rfam family: tRNA
About the family: Transfer RNA (tRNA) molecules are approximately 80 nucleotides in length.
Source: RNAcentral